RNAcentral lists this ribosomal RNA (415 nucleotides) under uncultured prokaryote. RNAcentral's name for it is "bacterial SSU rRNA". It matches the Rfam family "Bacterial small subunit ribosomal RNA", at positions 355 to 774 of the family's 1533-position model. The record is from RNAcentral.
UGAGGAAUUUUGCGCAAUGGGGGGAACCCUGACGCAGCAACGCCGCGUGGGUGAUGAAGGCCUUCGGGUCGUAAAGCCCUGUCGGGCGGGAAGAACAUCCCUUCGGGGAAUGACGGUACCGCCAGAGGAAGCACCGGCUAACUCCGUGCCAGAAGCCGCGGUAAUACGGAGGGUGCAAGCGUUAUUCGGAAUUACUGGGCGUAAAGGGCGUGCAGGCGGGAGAGCAAGUCUGAUGUGAAAGCCCGGGGCUUAACCCCGGAAGUGCAGUGGAAACUGCUUUUCUUGAGUUCUGGAGAGGAAGGGAGAAUUCCCGGUGUAGAGGUGAAAUUCGUAGAGAUCGGGAGGAACAUCAGUGGCGAAGGCGCCCUUCUGGACAGCAACUGACGCUGAGACACGAAAGCGUGGGGAGCAAACA